CCUGUUUCCCCUGAAUAAAAUGAUAUAUAAUAAGGGUGGGUACAUUUAAUAUGAAAGAGGUGAAUUACGGUUGGACAGACAUGUAGCGCAAAUGCCAGGUUUUGUUUACGUUUUGUUUACAUUUUGUUUCGUUCACAACGUGUACAUUUGGCUCAGUCCUUAAGGGGUUAAUCAGUUCUACAUAGUUUUCACACGAGUUUUAUGUUGACUGAUGCAUAAAAGCCUGCCACAACCAGAUAUGCUAAAAACCCACUCUCACACGAUCCCACAAACCACGGAGUGAGCCCUCAACAGCUGAGAGAGACACAAACCCUUAAACACACAGACAAAUUCCCGG
This is a non-coding RNA of Pelobates cultripes (western spadefoot toad), 337 nucleotides long. NCBI's taxonomy places the organism in Eukaryota, Metazoa, Chordata, Amphibia, Anura, Pelobatidae. The record is from the annotation of a GenBank genome assembly.